This is a long non-coding RNA of Mesocricetus auratus (golden hamster), 3185 nucleotides long. RefSeq lists it as uncharacterized. The record is from RefSeq and is a predicted model, not a curated record. The transcript is spliced from 3 exons. Lineage: Eukaryota; Metazoa; Chordata; Mammalia; Rodentia; Cricetidae.
AAGAGCAUAUGAACUGUAUAAUCAAGAGGUCUUCACCAGUGAGCCCUGUAGACACUUCAAUGCAGUAGUGAUUUUUCUGCAACAGUGUCAGUUAUCACUUUCAUUUCAUGGAAACAAUGUGGGCAUCAAACAGAGAGAAAGAGUCACAGGCUUGAGUUAAGAAAUUACAGAUUCAUCUUUCCCUCAUAUUUACUGUUUUGUAAAUGUUGCUUUAGGAAACACAAUCUUGCUAUGUAGAGAAGGGUUAUGGUUUGAAUGUGGAAUGUCCCAGAGGAAAAAGAAAAAGAAAAUGGGCAUGAGAGUUCACUAAGACAGGCAACCUCCAGCAUGUGUCAGGUCUUCAACCAAAGUGUGACUCAUGAGAGGCCCUGAGGAAGAAUCACCCAGCCUGGCUCCUCAUGGGUGCCUGACACUGUGGGAUAUUCCAUGUUUAUUGUUUCAAGCUGUGCAUUUGGGGACAAUUUACUCUGCAUCAGCAGAUGAGUGAGAAGAGACCAGUCUGCCUUUCAGUCCUUAGGACCAAGGGAGAGGGUGAGGACAGACAUGUCACAAGACAACAUGCAGGGUCACACAUACAUGACUAAGGUAAGUCCUCCAUGCUCUGACUCUAUCUCGUGUUUGCUUACACAGUCCUCAGCCCUCUGUGUUCCCCCACAGCAGUCGUGUCUGCCUUCAUGUGAGAUUUCCAUGGAAAAGCCCAUGGUGCAGAAGAAUCAACCAGAGUAAGUAAAGGAAACCAUAAUAAAUAAAGAAGAUAUAACUCGAAAUUGUUUGUCAUGUUAUAGCUAACUACUCUGCAAUGCCAGGAAAGAACAUUUCAACUUGAUCUGAUCUUCAUCUAAGUAGUAUGCAGUUUAUGGUCUUUGUCUUUAAACAUGCUGUCCCCUGAGUUUUGGUAGCUAUAGAUUUUUGGAAGCAUGUGCUCACUCUUGGUCUGACCAUUAAUAAAUGCACUUAAACCAUUAAUUGGCUUAGUAGCAUUGUUGUCAAUAAUUAUCUCAUGUGGAUCAUUUCAACCCAUAGUAGAGUCUCACAGAAGUUUCUUCCCUAGGCAGGAGCUCCCUUUCCUGCCCUUCUUUCUCUCUCCCAACAGAGAACAUGAUGGCCACCAGGGUUGCUCUGUCCUUCAUGCAUAAGACCCUGUUGCAUCCUCAGCAGCACCUGAUGAGGUGGGCUCCGUUACUGACUGUGAUUGUGCAGCAUCUCAGGAUCAGACACCAGUUGAUGCUGAGCCAAGCCAGGAGUGUGGUCCAGAUUGGCUGGAUGGUGUCCAUCCUCUCCAUCAACUCAGUCUUGGUCCCUGCUGAUCCUCACCCAUCCUGGCUGUGAGGACAAACUAGUGUAACACAUGAAAAGGGCCCAGCCUUGCUGGUGGUGUGAAGGAUGGUUUUGUUAUCCUGCUUUUUUGGGUUCAUCAGAAUUCUGGGUACAGAUGCUUGAGCUGUAGACAUUUCCUCCCAUCCUGGUCAUUGUCUCCUUUUGCUAACAGAACUGGGGACCCCAAUCUUCACAUAUGUAAGCCAAGACAGCAUCUCACCACUAAGCCUGGAAGACACUGAAUUGCUAGUCUGGCUAACCAUGGAGUACCAUGUACCAAGUUAAGCAGAGUUGGGAUCAAAUUCAUCAACAACAUGGAAAAACUGACAGAGGCAGACAGCUGGGUGGCAGCUCAGCAUUGUCUCAGAAGGCUCUGGAGUUGACUGAGGCCUGCAGAUGACACAGUUCAGAAAGGCCGACCCAUGGGGGCCCUCACAUGGGUCUAGGUACUUUGUCCUGUCAUUAGUUUGGAGUACAGGUGCCUGAGAUCACUACUGUAAGCAUGCCUCUUCUCCUUCCACAGUUUGCUACCUCUAUUGCACAGUGAAGUGAAGCAGUCCCUGCAGUGGGUUCAUCACCAGGGAAACAUUUGGUGGUCAAGUCCCGAGGGAAAAACUCAUAGGAUGGGGAAGAGUCAAACCCUGAUAUCUGUGUCCUAGACUCCCUUAGGAGAUGACUCAGACAUCUCCCACAACUUCUGGACAUGGCUCACAGGCAGAAUGAGAUGUACUCAGCACCAGGUUCCUUAGAUACCUGGUCUAAAGCUGGAAAGAAUGGAGGGAUGCAGCUGAGGCAUGCCAGGGCUCAUCGAGUACAUGACAUGUCCACCUCAGAGCCUUGAAUGACUGUUGGAUACAUUGCAAUUGGGACAUGGCUGCUUUCAAUGCACGUGUUCCUUCUUAACACUGCACAGUGUCCAUGGAAUUGUACCUCAUGUGCUCACUGGGUAGGGCAUCCUGUGUGUGACCCUCCAGGCUGUAAUUCUCAGGAACCACAUGCCCACCUGCUCAAUGUGUGUUCUUAGGAGAUGAAUAUUCCAGUUAAGUCCCAUUCUGAAUGGACGACUUUCCCUCUCCAUGCUGCACUCUGACUGAGGUUCCGGCCUCACGAAUUCUCCAUGGCUUCCUAUUGUCUUCUACCCAGACACUAAAUCCUUUAGCUGAAUCACCCAUUCUCCUCUCAGGUGUGGUCUGCUUACCCUGAAACUGCCAUAGUACAAUCCCAGAUCUUCCCAGAGCAGUUUUCUGUCUUACAGACACACAGAGUUACCGGGGUCCCAAGACAGGAACAGUGGUUUACCCAUCCAGAGCACUCUGUCAUUCUCAGUUGUUGAAGGGUCCUAACAGGGUCAGGCUCACUGGCAUCCAAUGGCUGGUUGCCUUUUUCUAAACCUGUCACAAUUCUUAGAAAUUCCUCCACCGUGCUUCACCCUGCCCAAAGCAUUCUUUCUGAUCAUCUGAGCACCUUCUCAUCUUCCUCUGACCUCAACACAGAGUUCACAUGAUCCUUGGUCUCAUGUGGAUUCUCUCUGUGAAACAUCCAGAGCCUUACUCUAUGAUCCCCCUGCCAACCCCAUGGUGAUGCCUCUAGCACAGAACCCAGGUUUGGAGAGGACUGUUGCUUUUCUCAUCAGGACACUUGGAAUUCCAUCCCAACAGUCAUAAUGUCUACUGUGAGGUCAUGGGAAAAUGAUUAAACUCGUUAUGCCUCAGUCUCCUCAUCCAUGAUGGGGAAUAAUGAUGUCAUAAGGUGAGAGGUCCAUCACACAAGUCACAGACUGUGACAAUCUCUACUACUGUUUGUCACUAGAGAGCACACCCCUGCCACUAGGAGUUGAGUGAACAUUGUCUGGACAUUUUCCAUGCAGU